RNAcentral lists this ribosomal RNA (253 nucleotides) under uncultured bacterium. RNAcentral's name for it is "partial 16S ribosomal RNA". It matches the Rfam family "Bacterial small subunit ribosomal RNA", at positions 524 to 776 of the family's 1533-position model. The record is from RNAcentral.
GACGAACCGAGCGAACGUUGUUCGGAAUCACUGGGCUUAAAGGGCGCGUAGGCGGGCUGUUAAGUCUGGGGUGAAAUCCCACGGCUCAACCGUGGAACUGCCUUAGAUACUGACGGCCUCGAGGGAGAUAGGGGCGAGCGGAACUGUGAGUGGAGCGGUGAAAUGCGUUGAUAUUCACAGGAACUCCGGUGGCGAAGGCGGCUCGCUGGAUCUUUUCUGACGCUGAGGCGCGAAAGCUAGGGGAGCAAACGGG